AGAAAUGGGCAGGACCAAUUAUAGAAGAGCUUUUGGCCUUCAGCACGGUGGUGUUGCAUUGCAUAGAAAGCACAACAGCUCGAUUGGCACAGCUAUCACAAAUGUUAAAUCGUCACUGGGAGAGGAUCUUGUGUAGAGCUUUAUAUCAAACCACCCUGCAAUCAAUUGAGGAGGAAAAUGUCUAGCUGUUUAUUGUUCUGAGCAGAGGGAGCAAAAAGCGCAAUGACAGUCUUGUUGAUUUCACCUGUGAAGUUGCAAGGAUGCGACGAACCUUCCUUAGCUAGAACUGGUGAUACAAAUCUUGGCCAGAAAAUCUUUAUUUGUAUGAAAUGAAGUAUGAUUACAUCAGAUUAGACCAUGUCAUCAAACCAUAUGGUGAGCUUAAUCGCAAAGGAUGAAGAAUGAUUGUUCUUUUGUAAA
This is a long non-coding RNA of Panicum virgatum (switchgrass), 420 nucleotides long. RefSeq lists it as uncharacterized. The transcript has 2 exons. The record is from RefSeq and is a predicted model, not a curated record. NCBI's taxonomy places the organism in Eukaryota, Viridiplantae, Streptophyta, Magnoliopsida, Poales, Poaceae.